AAAGAGUCAUCUACAGGUAAAUUAUCAAUACCAUCUACAUGAUCUACUUGGAAACAUUAUCAACACCAACAGCUAGAGCUUUCAAAAGAUUUUGUCUAGAUUCAAGUCCUACCAUAUUUGGUCAUCUAGCCAAUAACACAAAAAUAAAUAAAUACAGCAAUUUAGGCCUUUUUGUUAUAGGAUAGGAAGCAAUACAGCCUGGUGAUGUCACUGUUUCCAUAUUUUCAUAAUGUGCGUGGCGUCUCAUUUUCUAUUACUGUUACGAAAAAGAGAACAAACAAAUGUUAAACAAGAGACAGCUAAAUCUUGUUCCUUGAAGUGUCAUUAGUAAUUAGUAGGAAACCAAGGAGCCAGAGAAUUAAAGAUCCAAAGAUGCAAAUAGCAGUAAAAAAUAUCCUUUCUUUUUAAUAAUUUUAUUAAAUAAUGCUAGGGUAGUUGGGUGUUGA
This 446-nucleotide unclassified non-coding RNA is filed under the name Hevea brasiliensis (rubber tree). Lineage: Eukaryota; Viridiplantae; Streptophyta; Magnoliopsida; Malpighiales; Euphorbiaceae. The record is from RNAcentral.